CUCAGCAGGCUGAGAUUGGAGAAUUACCUGAGCCCAGGAGGUUGAGGCUGCAGUAGGUGCCAGAUUGAGACUGUUUAAAAAAAAUUGCGUGGGGAAGACAGCUGAGACAAGGAUAUUAAAUAAGAAGACAUUUUAUAAGCCUGGCCAUUUGAAGAUAUAGGCUUAGACCAGUAGAUUGUAAUUUAAAUUUUACUUUUUUAUUUUCCAACUCUUUAAUCUCUAGGAAUAACUGGAAAUUUUAAGAAGUUACUAUCUCUGCUAUGGGGAUGGAUAGUCAGACAGCAAUGUUCACAAAUUACUCUUGAAACUUGAUGCAAACAACCUGUUUAAAAACUGAUGUAACGAGAGGAAUUUCAUGGAUGCAAAUGAACACCUGUGAAAAUUCUUCGGCAAGAACUGUUUCAUUUAGCAACACCAGGCUGUACAGGAGGCAUGGCUGGGGAGGCCUCAGAAAACUUACAAUCAUGGCAGAAGGUGAAGGGGAAGCCAGCACAUCUUCAUAUGAUGGCAGGAACUUUAUAUGUUAUAGAAGUUAGCCCCAAGAAUGAAAUCGUGUCCUUUGCCAAAACAUGGAUGGAGCUAGAGGCCUUUAUCCUAAGGUGCUCUAUGCUUAGCCCAUCAUAGAUUGUGGCCCUUCAUUCCUGCAUUUGAUGAAUCCAGGGAACCCUCUCUCCAACACCCUUGGCCUCUCUGCAACUUUCUAACAUCAGGCAGAGUCAGAGGCACCAUCCCCAGAAGCUACAAAUCUUCAGCAUUCUCCACUCUGUGAAGUCAGAGGAAUGGCGGGACCAUAGCUCUGAGCUCAUUGGCAAAUACAACUAAUUUCAAUUUCUGGAAUGGAAGCAGUCAGAUAUUCUUCUGACUGCACGCGUAUGUGGGAGUGCCAUGUUGAAGAGUGGAAAAUAUGGAAGAUCAGUCCCUACAAACUUAAUAGGAGAAUGACAUUCAGAUUUCCCGAGUAUUUUGCAUGUCCAACUGAAAACUGAAGUAGGUUUAUGAGAGAAUGCACGCCUACCUGGAUGGGUCUGGGGAGUGUGUCACUGUCACCGCAGAUAAUUGACAAGGGCUGAUCAAAUAGCGAUGCUUUCAAGUCUGUCUCCAAAGCCCCAGAAAAAUCUGAUGCAGGGGAGAGCCUUCUCAUGAGAAAGGGCCAGGACAGCACCUUCUUUCUCUUCUUAACUUCUACAGCCAAGAAAACAAGGCAACGAGAAAAAUUAGACUACAGUGUUAAGAAGCAAAGAUCCAGGAGAUAGGAUGGAGUGUCACCAAGAUAGAAGACAAAAACAUAAGCUGUGAAAUGUGAUUAUAAAGUAGUGACAUGAGUGCCAGAAACCACGGAGGAAACGUCUCCUUGUUCUGGAUCCACACUUCAUACGUGGUCAUUGAAACGUGGCAUCAAACGGGAGGAAUGUGAUGGGCCAGGUUAGGGGAAGAGCACCAAGCAGGGCCUUUCCCUGGGAGAUGGCACCACGUGACAUGCUUCAUACGGAAGCACAUGGGCCCUCAGCGCUGGUAUCUUGCUUCACCUGGGGAUGGUGAUGAAAUGAUGCAGAGCUGACUCAAUACGAUACAGAGCUGACUCAAUACGAUGUGUGGGAUCUUCCAUCGUGAAGCAGCUGGGAGCACCAGGAGGCAGGUUUUCCCGUGCUUAUGGAAAGCACCACAUUGUUCUGCUGGGGACAUGUUCUUUUACUCCAAGGAGUAGUGGAUGUGCAAUGGGCUGUCCUGCCCGUAGAGAUGUGUGGGGCUGGCUGCUGAGAACAGAUGGCAACUGGCUGGCUCUGAUGCCUCAGAAGAGGUGAAUGCAUUCGGAGAGGCCACAGCUGAGAGUCCCUCAAACUGGGGAGUUAUUAUUCUAAAAGUUGGAUUUUUAGCAAGAUUUUACCAGGUAACACGUUAUUUGAAUUGGCUGUGACUGAAUUUGAGGAACAACGCGCCCACCCCAGAGAUGGACAGUGGCCUGUUUUCAGGAGAUGGCAGCAUUGAUGACUGGGACAUUGUAUCUCCUCAUUCAAGGGAGAGAAUGGGAAUGCCUCCAUUUCUUAUGAAAGAGGCCCCACAACUUGUUAAGUUGAAACAUGGAUGUCUUGGGAGUUCCAAAGCUCACAGAGGGGAGUGUGUGGAAGCAAAGCCCAGGGCAGGCUGUGCCGAGUAUGGAGCUUUGGUUUCUCAGUCCCAAACCUGCCAUCCUCCACCCCGAGAUGCUGGGCUGGGACGUUGCAAAUCAAUGCCUGCCUUGCUGCCUGGCUCCCUGUGAGGUCCUGCUGAUUGGGCCGCUGCAGGCUGGAGGAGGGGGAAGGGACUUGCUCCUUCCUGGUUUGUCCUAGUUCUGCUUUCUUUCAUUCGGUUCCCGUCAGACACCUGUCCGUGUCUUCAGGUUGGCAGUGGCAGUCCCAUCCAGUAGCAGGAAUUGAGAUCAGUUUUCAGUUUUUUCCAAGAUUCUCAGAACUGGCCUCAUCACACUCUCUUAGGGCCGUGAGUGCCUGUUGCCCAGCGUCCCUCCCCUCUUCAGAGGUCAGGGACUCAGCCUCACAGGGACCCCGCUCUGAUCUCUGGGAUCCCAACCGGGCUGAGCAUCACUUGAUUCUCACGGGUUUUGCUCUGCAAGGCUUUCCCCCAAACUGUUAGGAAUUCCAACUUCUUCCCUUUGUUCUCCUAGCCGAGGUGCGACGGCUGCUUCCCGCCUUUGCUACAUCCACGAUCCCUCACUGUUUCCAUUUUGCCUUUUCAUUUCUCCAGGUAGUUAGCAAUUCUAUGCAUUACAUUCUCUCUGUCAGAGUAACCAGUUUGGUUUCUGCCUCUUGUCUGCAUUUUUAAACUUUGCUUCUUUUUUUAUCUCUCUUCCUCACUCGUGGAAUUGGUCAAAUUUUCUUUUACCUGCUUUCAGAAUUUUCUUUUGCCUCCUUUUAGAAGGUAAUAACAUACAUUCUACUUUUACUAUUUUAGAAAUCAUCCACUAAUUCUUGAUUCUUAAUGCUUACUCGACCUUAUUUUUUUUUCUAACAAAAUCUAGAGAUGGUUAAUAUUUCUACUCUCUUCUUGAACAAGUCAAGAAUGGUUUAC
RNAcentral lists this long non-coding RNA (3063 nucleotides) under Homo sapiens (human). RNAcentral's name for it is "HSALNT0338082". The record is from RNAcentral. Lineage: Eukaryota; Metazoa; Chordata; Mammalia; Primates; Hominidae.